RNAcentral lists this ribosomal RNA (497 nucleotides) under uncultured bacterium. RNAcentral describes it as "partial 16S ribosomal RNA". It matches the Rfam family "Bacterial small subunit ribosomal RNA", at positions 28 to 507 of the family's 1533-position model. The record is from RNAcentral.
GAUGAACGCUGGCGGCGUGCCUAAUACAUGCAAGUCGAGCGAACAGACGAGGAGCUUGCUCCUCUGACGUUAGCGGCGGACGGGUGAGUAACACGUGGAUAACCUACCUAUAAGACUGGGAUAACUUCGGGAAACCGGAGCUAAUACCGGAUAAUAUAUUGAACCGCAUGGUUCAAUAGUGAAAGACGGUUUUGCUGUCACUUAUAGAUGGAUCCGCGCCGCAUUAGCUAGUUGGUAAGGUAACGGCUUACCGAGGCAACGAUGCGUAGCCGACCUGAGAGGGUGAUCGGCCACACUGGAACUGAGACACGGUCCAGACUCCUACGGGAGGCAGCAGUAGGGAAUCUUCCGCAAUGGGCGAAAGCCUGACGGAGCAACGCCGCGUGAGUGAUGAAGGUCUUCGGAUCGUAAAACUCUGUUAUUAGGGAAGAACAAAUGUGUAAGUAACUAUGCACGUCUUGACGGUACCUAAUCAGUAAGCCACGGCUAACUACGUG